RNAcentral lists this ribosomal RNA (1025 nucleotides) under Flavobacterium psychrotolerans. RNAcentral's name for it is "bacterial LSU rRNA". It matches the Rfam family "Bacterial large subunit ribosomal RNA", at positions 1923 to 2925 of the family's 2925-position model. Lineage: Bacteria; Pseudomonadati; Bacteroidota; Flavobacteriia; Flavobacteriales; Flavobacteriaceae. The record is from RNAcentral.
GUAAACGGCGGCCGUAACUAUAACGGUCCUAAGGUAGCGAAAUUCCUUGUCGGGUAAGUUCCGACCUGCACGAAUGGCGUAACGAUGGCGGCGCUGUCUCCACCCGAGACUCAGUGAAAUUGAAAUCGCUGUGAAGAUGCAGUGUAUCCGCGGCUAGACGGAAAGACCCCGUGAACCUUUACUAUAGCUUUGCACUGGACUUUGAAUUUGCUUGUGUAGGAUAGGUGGGAGGCUUUGAAGUGGGGACGCCAGUUCUCAUGGAGCCAUCCUUGAAAUACCACCCUGGCAACUUUGAGGUUCUAACUCAGGUCCGUUAUCCGGAUCGAGGACAGUGUAUGGUGGGUAGUUUGACUGGGGCGGUCUCCUCCCAAAGAGUAACGGAGGAGUACGAAGGUGCGCUCAGACCGGUCGGAAAUCGGUCGUAGAGUAUAAAGGCAAAAGCGCGCUUGACUGCGAGACACACACGUCGAGCAGGUACGAAAGUAGGUCUUAGUGAUCCGGUGGUUCUGUAUGGAAGGGCCAUCGCUCAACGGAUAAAAGGUACUCCGGGGAUAACAGGCUGAUACCGCCCAAGAGUUCAUAUCGACGGCGGUGUUUGGCACCUCGAUGUCGGCUCAUCACAUCCUGGGGCUGAAGCCGGUCCCAAGGGUAUGGCUGUUCGCCAUUUAAAGUGGUACGCGAGCUGGGUUUAUAACGUCGUGAGACAGUUCGGUCCCUAUCUGCCGUGGACGUUUGAGAUUUGAGAGGGGCUGCUCCUAGUACGAGAGGACCGGAGUGGACGAACCUCUGGUGUUCCGGUUGUCACGCCAGUGGCAUUGCCGGGUAGCUAUGUUCGGAAGAGAUAACCGCUGAAAGCAUCUAAGCGGGAAACUUGCCUCAAGAUGAGAUCUCACUGGGAUCUUGAAUCCCCUAAAGGGCCGUCGAAGACUACGACGUUGAUAGGUUGGGUGUGUAAGCGCUGUGAGGCGUUGAGCUAACCAAUACUAAUUGCCCGUGAGGCUUGACCAUAUAACACCCAAGCAAUU